RNAcentral lists this ribosomal RNA (885 nucleotides) under uncultured bacterium. Its description in RNAcentral is "bacterial SSU rRNA". It matches the Rfam family "Bacterial small subunit ribosomal RNA", at positions 75 to 997 of the family's 1533-position model. The record is from RNAcentral.
CUAGCUUGCUAGAAAAUUUGAGAGCGGCGAACGGGUGAGUAACACGUUGGUAUCUGCCCCCAAGUCAGGGAUAGCCAUUGGAAACGAUGAUUAAUACCGGAUAGUCUCUUCGGAGUAAAAAUUUAUUGCUUGGGGAGGAACCUGCGGUCUAUCAGCUAGUUGGUGAGGUAAUAGCUCACCAAGGCUAUGACGGAUACCUGGUCUGAGAGGAUGAUCAGGCACAAUGGAACUGAGACACGGUCCAUACUCCUACGGGAGGCAGCAGUGAGGAAUCUUCCACAAUGGACGAAAGUCUGAUGGAGCGACACCGCGUGAAGGAUGAAGGCCUAACGGUUGUAAACUUCUUUUCUGAAGGAGCAUAAUGAGAGUACUUCAGGAAUAAGGGACGGCUAAAUACGUGCCAGCAGCCGCGGUAAUACGUAUGUCUCAAGCGUUACCCGGAAUCACUGGGUGUAAAGGGUUCGUAGGCGGUUUAAUAAGUUGGAUAUGAAAGACCGGAGCUCAACUCCGUGUUGGUGUUCAAAACUGUUAAACUAGAAUCAGGGAGAGGUAAGUGGAAUUCUGUGUGUAGGGGUGCAAUCCGUAGAUACACAGAGGAACACCAAAAGCGAAGGCAACUUACUGGAACUGUAUUGACGCUCAUGAACGAAAGCGUGGGUAGCGAAAAGGAUUAGAUACCCUUGUAGUCCACGCCCUAAACGAUGAUAACUAAGUGUUGCGACUCGCUCGCAGUGCUGAAGCUAACGCGAUAAGUUAUCCACCUGAGGAGUACGGUCGCAAGAUUAAAACUCAAAGGAAUAGACGGGGACCCACACAAGCAGUGGAUCACGUGGUUAAUUCGACAAUAAACGGGGAACCUUACCCAGACUUGACAUCUAUCGAAUC